AGAUGCACAUACAAGUUAAACUUUACAUUAAUUGGAAAUGUGCAGUUUAUAAAAAAUACAAAAAAUACUUAAACUAUAAUAGCUAAACAAACCAAUUCAUUUUCAGUUUCAUUUAUUGUUGAGCAGCAGGUGCAGCUCAUAACACAUGCUCUUUUGGGCAAAUUGUUCUCAUCUGUUUGACUUCAAUCACCAUUUGUACAGGAUAAGUGGAAUAAAGCAGUGGACGAGUGGAACAAACUUCUCCCAAAUGUGUUCUUGGAUAAGAAGGAUUUCUUUAUUGAAGUAUGUUAAGUUCAAAUCUCAGUUUCAACUUAGAUGUUGAUGUUAUUGUCUCAAAACUUUUAAGUCACUAUAAUAUUAUAAAUCUUUGACACAGACUAUUCAGCUGGACUAUAGUAAGAAGAAGACUGAAAACCCCAUCAACAAAGAAUGUGACAAGGAUGCUGGAGCAAGGCUGGACCCCAUCAAAAAUGUCUAUUUCUACAGGAAGAGAAACCCCACUGAUGGCAUUUCUAUUAAGAAUUAUGAGAUAUCCAGUCUGCUGCCAGAGGAGUUUACUGAAUAUGUUGGUCAGGUUAACUACACAAAAAAAUCAGAUGAGGAGGAGAGGGAUGCUAAGGAGUGCUUCAGAUGGUGGCGUCUCCGUGAGGACGGGAUGUGUAUGAUUCUGGUCUUCGAUCAGGAAGAGUUUAGAGGAAACUGGCGCUUGAUCACAGAAGACUGUCCAUCAUUGGAGGUCCGCUCCUGUAAGGUUCUCAGUGGUGUGUGGGAUCUCUAUAAGGGUCCUGACUACACUGAACCCAGUUACCGACUGCAGAAUCUGGAGUAUCGAAACCCUGAGGCUUGGGGUGCCAGUGACAACACUGAUCCUGCUCUGUCUGUUAAACGUAGGACAGAGUAAAUUCUACUCCAUCCAUCUGUUGCCCUCAUUCAUUCAAGUAGGGCUGUGAGUUUAAAGCAUUAAUUUAAUGUUUAAUUAUAAUUGCUAAACAAAAAUAGUCUAAUCAGUGAU
Molecule: long non-coding RNA, 1012 nt
Organism: Cyprinus carpio (common carp)
Lineage: Eukaryota; Metazoa; Chordata; Actinopteri; Cypriniformes; Cyprinidae
Source: Ensembl